RNAcentral lists this ribosomal RNA (371 nucleotides) under Physalaemus cuvieri (barker frog). Its description in RNAcentral is "partial 16S ribosomal RNA". It matches the Rfam family "Bacterial large subunit ribosomal RNA", at positions 1994 to 2515 of the family's 2925-position model. The record is from RNAcentral. Lineage: Eukaryota; Metazoa; Chordata; Amphibia; Anura; Leptodactylidae.
GAAUGGCACCACGAAGAUUAUACUGUCUCCCCUUUUUAAUCAGUGAAACUAAUCUCCCCGUGAAGAAGCGGGAAUAAAACUAUAAGACGAGAAGACCCUAUGGAGCUUUAGACUACAUAACAAUUGCUAUCUAUUUAUUUAUCCCCCGGGAACUCAAUUAUAUUUAUUCAUAUUGAUUUCUAGUCUUAGGUUGGGGUGACCACGGAGUAAAAUACAACCUCCAUGAUGAAAGAAACUUAAUUUCUUAACCCAGAGUUACAACUCUAAGUACCAAAAAUUUGACAUAAAUUGACCCAAUUAUUUGAUCAACGAACCAAGUUACCCUAGGGAUAACAGCGCAAUCUACUUCAAGAGUCCUUAUCGACAAGUAG